Anthonomus grandis grandis is the source of this 995-nucleotide long non-coding RNA. RefSeq lists it as uncharacterized. The record is from RefSeq and is a predicted model, not a curated record. NCBI's taxonomy places the organism in Eukaryota, Metazoa, Arthropoda, Insecta, Coleoptera, Curculionidae. The transcript is spliced from 3 exons.
AUAGAAUACGCAUUAAUAAUUUAUUGUAGCAAAAGUUGAACCAAACAAGUGACGAAAACAAAAUACCAGGAAUUUUUUGUGUUUUUGGUUUAAUCUCUAUCCGCAUUUUCGUUUAGAAGUUCGUGAUUUUUUGAAGCAUGUACAGCAGAUACGCUGGAUCGGAAGAAGUGGACCAAUUGCAUGGCCUCCACGGUCUUCUUUUUAUGGGGACACUUAAAAAACGAGGUAUACCGUACUCCAGUUCAGAAUAUUGAAGAAUUGCGUGACCGAAUCACGGUGGUUGAUAAUUGAUAAUUUGACUUCAGGAAUAGCGGGAAGGAGGUAUAUUUGAAAUAGUGCGCCAAAAUUGGAUUAAACGUGCUCAAGCUUGCAUUAGAGUCAAUGGAAACAAUUUUGAACAGCUUUUAUAAAUAUGAUAGUUUUAUAAUAUGGAGAAUGGCUUAAGCAAAUCCCUAUACACGAGAGUCAAUCUUAAGGGCUGACUAUUGGAAUUUUUCUUCUUAAGGGUGAAAGACAGAAGAUCUUUGUGAGUCUCCAUAUACAUAUAUUAUGUAUUUUGUACACCACGCCUAAGAUAUGCCGGUGGAGUCUACAGUGACCUAUUAGGAUUUCAGUCAGAUAGCCAAGCAAGAUGGCAAAAUUGACAGGAGCUGACAGAAAUGACGUUGUUGACAUUGACUGAUGAGAACAUCAUUUGUCAUAUCAUUUGCGUUUGUUUUUCGUUUCAAUGUAUGCUGGAAGCGUAGGUUGAGAUUGUUUUAAUGAUGCUAUUUUAAAUCAAUAACCUUUUUUUUAAAAAAAGUUCUUUUUCGAUAUCGGGACUAAUGUUUUAACUGAUUUGUAGCAAUUCCAGGUGUCCGAUAAGAAAAUGUGAUUUUAUUUUUUUGUAUUGUCAAUUUUUAGUAUAUAAUAAAAUCAAAUUCAGUUGGUUUCCAUCAAGAUGUUUCACCGUUCAAAUAUUUAAUUUUUAACUUGAUAUAAAUAUAUAUUACAAA